CAUUGCUGUCCCCCAUGUGUCACCCUCCUUGCCUUCAGGCCCCUCAAAGAGGCCGGGUCUGAUUCAAGUCCAUCUCUUCAUUCCACCUUCCUGUCCUGACAGUGCCUGACUCAUAAGGAGCAACCAAGAAACUCUCUGCUUAGGAAAAAAGAACUGAUCAUUGGCAAAAAGCUGAGGAUGACAACCUUAGGGGAUGAAAGGCUGUCUUUUCGCACCCUUCUGAGCUUUUCUGCCGGCUCCCAGCUGGGAGAAACCAACACGAUGAAAGCAGAUCUUCCCACCAUGUGCCCGCUUUCCAGAUGCUAGAACAUGUCACCGACAAAACAGACAGAAAUUGUUUCUCAUGGAGCUGUGUCCUUGUGGUGGAGGGACACAGGCAACAAAUCAGCAAAUAAGCAAAUGACAGUACGUGGCAAGCUGAUGAAUGCCAAGGAGAGAAAUCAAUGAGGGAAAGGGACAGGGGUGGGGGGAGGAGGUGGGGUUGCAAUUUUCAAAAGAGCAACUAGUGAAGGUCUUGCUGAGAUGGUAACAUUUGAAUAAAGACUUCAAAGCCACAUGAGGCCGAGCAAGGUGGCUCAUGCCUGUAAUCCCAGCACUUUGGGAGGCCAAGGUGGGCGGAACACAAGGUCGAGAGAUCGAGACCAUCCUGGACAACAUGGUGAAACUACAUCUUUACUAAAAAUGCAAAAAUUAGCUGGGCAUGGUGGUACAUGCCUGUGGUCUCAGCUACUCAGGAGGCCGAGGCAGGAGAAUCUCUUGAACCUGGGAAGUAGAGGUUGCAGUGAGCCAAGAUUGCGGCACUGCACUCUAGCCUGGUGACAGAGCAAGACUCUGUCUCAAACUGAAGAAAAAAAAAAAAGCCACGUUGGUGUUGGAGGAAGAGCAUUCCGAGAGAGAAAGCAGCAAAAUGCAAAGGCCUGGAGGCAGCUGUGCUCCUGGGAGCUCAAGGAACAGCAAGGGUGGAAGUGGCUGGAGCUGAGCCAGUAGGGAUGGGAUGGGAAAAGAGGUCAGGCAAAGAAUGGGUCCAGUUGGGAGGAACCUGGCCUUCUCUCUGCCUGGGAUGGGAAAGCUUAAAAGGCUUUGAAUAGAGGAAGGACAUGCUCUGGUUUCCACGUUCCAAGGACUGGAGAGAUUGAGAUGCUUGCCUCACACCCUGCAGCCAGUGAGGGGCAGAAGAGCGAGCAUCUAGCUGUGAAGGGGAGCUUGAUUUACUGCACCACCCCUAUGUCUGCCAGAGUUUGUUUACUGGAGUCCACAUUGCUGCUAAGAGAGCUGACUGCCACAACAGUGUGAAAAAUAAGACAGGGCAUGGGGAAAAGAGGGGUGGCUGUGUGCUAAUUCAGGAAAGGGGACAAAUCCCAAAAGGCCUAUUGGGGAGGCUGAGGCGGGUGGAUUAAGAGGUCAAGGGAUCGAGAUCACCCUGGUCAACAAGGUGAAACCCCGUCUCUACUAAAAAUACAAAAAUUAGCUGGGCAUGGUGGCGCGUGCCUGUACUCCCAGCUACUCGGGAGGCUGAGGCAGGAGAAUUGCUUGAACCCAGGAGGCGGAGGUGGCCGUGAGCCGGGAUCCCGCCAUUGCACUCCAGCCUGGGUAACAACAGCGAAACUCCGUCGCAAAAAAAAAAAAAAAAAAGGCCUAUUGGAAGAGGUGAUAUUUGAGCUGAAACCCAAAUGGUAGAAAUCAGCCAAGGAAAUACACAGAGAGCAGAGUGUUCAGAAAUAGAUGGUGCAGAGGUCCUGAGGCAGGACCCCGCUCAGAGUCCCAGGAGAGCAGAGAGAAGACAAAUGUGGCGGAAUUGCCAUGAGCAGUGGGGAGAUGAGGUCACCGAGGGAGCCAGGAGGCAGAUGCUUCACGGUCUCACAGGCUCCGGUAAGGAAUUUGGAUUUUAUUGUUAAGAAUGAUGAGAAGGCACUCGAAGAUUUUAAGCAGGGAGGGAUUUACAUUUUCUAUUUUAUUUUAUUUUAUUUAUUUUUUUGAGACGGAGUCCCGCACUGUCACCCAGGCUGUAGUGCAGUGGCGCGAUCUUGGCUCACUGCAACCUCCGCCUCCUGGGUUCAAGCAGUUCUCACAGGGUUAAUGUGACCUGUGGGGAUUUUUUGUCAGAGGAUUGUGAUGAGCGCGAACAAAUUUUCUAUGACCUUGUUAGGGGAAAAUAAUAAGCUCCUGCUAAUGUAUCAAAUUACCAUGCUUGGGCUUCCUGUUCAGAAACCUCAGCAUCUCAUCUCCACGUAGGCUGCGGAGAAUUACUUUUUAGAUGCAGUUGCAUUGAGCGAAGGAGGUUCUGUGGCCUCUAACAUCCCCACUGGGGGAAGAGCUCUGCUAUCCUGGUUUUUCUCUGCAGUUCACGGUGGUCUGGCACUUAGCAUAGCAUCUGAAGAAAAAAAAAAAGCUGGAUUUCUAUUUGAAUGAACAAAGGAAAUGGUUAGUGGCCAUAACACAAGGGUUUUCUCUCAUGUCUAUUUUCUAGGGAAAAACAGGAGAAUUUUUAAAAAAUGUGUCUCUCUUUUUGGGCUGGGCACGGUGGCUCAUGCCUGUAAUCCCAGCACUUUGGGAUGCCGAGGUGGGCCGAUCAUGAGGUUGAGAGAUCGAGACCAUCCUGAAACCCCGUCUGUACUAAAAAAACAAAAUACAAAAAUUAGCUGGGCAUGUAGUUCCAGCUACUCAGGAGGCUGAGACUCGGGAGGCAGAGUUUGCAGUGAGCAGAGUUCGCACCAUUGUACUUCAGCCUGGCCACAGAGCAAGAGUCCAUCUGAAAGAAAGAAAAGAAAGACAGAAAGAGAGAGAAAGGAAGGAAGGAAGGAAGAAGGGAAGGAAGGAAGGAGGGAAGGAAGGAAGAAAGGAAGGAAGGGAAGGAAGGAAGGAAGGAGGGAAGGAAGAAAGGGAAGGAAGGAAGAAGGGAAGGAGGGAAGGAAGAAAGGAAGGAAGGAAAGGAAGGAAGGAGGGAGGGAAGGAAGGAAGGAAAGAGAAAGAAAGAAACUUGUCUCCCUUUUCCUUUUGACAGCUGUGAAGAAGGUGCAAGUUUCAAAGGUGUCACUUUGCUGACGAGCCUUAAGUGAUGGGCAGUAGGCAGAGGUUCCCUCAAUACCCGUUUAAAGACAUUAAGGACCCCCCCAGACUCCUCAAAUAAUACCGUAUCCAGAAUGAAUGUGCACAUCCCCUGGCUGGUCACCUGCAACGAGGACCACCCAUAGCCACCUCCACUGAGCACAGACAUCACAGCUCCCACUCUUCCUCUUUCUUUAAGAGGCACUAAUCCCACCAUGGGGACCCCGCCCCAUGAGAAGUUUUGUAACUCACUUUCUCAGUUUCCCUCGAGAUUCAGGACAGGUAGGUGAGUUGAGCCUCACGAAUCAGAUGCACUCACAUAACCUCACCACCCCCAUGGUCUCAUCUAAACGCUAUUGCCUCCCAAAGCCCCAUCUCAAAAUCCCAUUGCAUUAGGGGCUAGGGCUUUAACAUAUACAUUUUUGGGGAGGGGAACACAGUCAUUUAAUCCAGAGCAGAAAUCAUAAGGAGGGAAAAUUUCCAAAUAUAGUCAGACUAUUCCAAAAGCAAGAUAGCCCCAAAGAUAGCCACACCCACUACAGCCUUUCUCUUCUACAUCUGUCUCCCACACAGUGUCUGGCACACAGCAGGGGCUCAGUGAGUGACAGCACCUCCUUUCUCUAGCUGUGCUUCCCUGUUUAGCCUCUGCCCAUCUCUACCUACAGCUCUGUCCCUUGGAUUCCUGUACUUGAAAUUUUUUCCCAUGGACCCUUUCACUACAACCAGCACUUUAAAAGAAAAAACAAUGGAAUACAACAUGCAAAGUUCACCAAAUCCAGCUUUAGCACCAAUUUUAAACAUAGAUGCAUGCAAAUAUAUUUCUAAGAUAUUAGUCUCCAAAACUGUGGGUAUUGACACUCUUAUCAGAACCUAGUGUCCUUCACUCAAGAGAUGUUUAAAGAGCUUAUUUGUAUUUCUUGAUUUCCACUUAAUUAAUGUGUUUAUUUAUGUCUUUUGUUUUGUAAGAAGUACAUUUAAUAAUUUAGAAGCAAUAAGGCAAAAUAUUUUUACAUAAAAAUUUAAAGACAUUUGCAUGACAAAAAGCAUGCAAAUUAAAGUGACAAACACCACACUGGAGAAAUAUUUUUAAUUUAAAUUACAAUAAAACAGUCAUUAUCCCUAACAUAUAAAUCUCUGUAGCAUUUCCUAAAACUGUAGGAGAAAGAAAAGCCCUAGAGAAAAAUAAGCUAAGAAGUAAAUAGACAAUUCACAGAAAAAGAAAAAGCAUCUUAAUUGUAUGAGAAGAUGAUAACCUUCUCACUGAGAAAGGAAAAUCAAAACCAGCUUAAGACUGUCAACAAGCACAGAGUGAUAAGGACCAGAUUUGUCUUCCCACUUGGAAAACAUUUUUAAAUGGACAAAAGGUGCCAAACAAUAGUUUUCAAGAUUUGGAUGUUAGACAACAAAAGCAAGUGACCCCAAAAGGCAGGAGAGAAAUGAGUUGAGCCUAGCGUUGCCCCACUUUCCGCCUUGAGAGACUUUCCAGGCACAGCUGCAGGGACGGGAACCCAGGCAGAGAAUUCCAGGGAGCAGUGAUCAGCGCUCAUAGCAGAAUGGAAAUAGUGCUGUUUCCAGCCAGCCAGACUUGAAGACCUUGUCAGUCAGGGGUCAUUUGGUAGAGGACUCAGAAAGAUCUUGUCUCAGUAGUGGGGAAUCAUUAGUCAUAGACUAAACAUCUUAAAGAAUCAUAAAAGCUAAAUGCAAAAGGAUCAAGGUAUUUCCACCUUCUUAACUGCAUACCAGAACAUAGCCCAGUAAUAGUGACAAGAAUACAAAAAUACUCAGCACCCAAAAGGCCAAAAUGAUUGGCAUUCAAUCAAGGAAUACCAGGCACGUAAAGAAGCAGGAAAUAUGGUGCCAAAUAAAUAAGAAAAUAAAUCAAUUCCACUCAGUCCAGAACUGAUACUAUUGAAAUUUGUUGGUGUCACUAACACAUUUACUAGAGAGAAAUUUCUGGCACUAAAUCCUAUGUUUAGAAAAGAAGUCUCAAGUCUACGACUUCAGAUCCCCCUUCAAGAAAGAAAGGAGAGCACCUUAAACCUAAAAUAAGCCAAAUAAAAGAAAUAAAAACAAGCAGAUAUCAAUGAAAUAUAAAACAGAAAAACAAUAGCAUCAACGAAGCUAGAAGUUGAUUCUUGGAAAAUAUCAGUAAAAUUGAUAAACCUCUAGUCAAACUGAUCUGGAAAUAAAUAGAAAAAAAAAGAAAAAAGAAAAGAAAAGAAGGAAGGAAGGCAGGGAGGGAGGGAGGAAGGACACAGAAUACCAGCGUCAGGAAUGAAGGAAGUGGCAUCACUAUAGAUUCCACAGAAAUUAAAAAAAUAAUUAAAUAUUAUGAACAGCUUUAUGCCAAUAAAUUCAACCUCUUAGAUCAAAUGAACAAACUCCUUGAAGUGCAUACAUUACCAACUGUUAUUCAAGAAGAAACAGAUGUGAUCUACUCAAAAAAUAUAACUUUUAGUUUAAAAUCUUCCAAUAAAGAAAAUGCCAGGCACCAAAGUUCACAGGUGAGUUUGAACAAAUAUUUAAUGAAGAAAUAAUACCAAUUCUUCUCACACUCUUCCAUAAAAGUGAAGUGAGAAUAUACUUUCCAACUCAUUGUAUGAGGCCAGAGAUAGCCUGAUUCCAAAACCAGACAAAGACAUCCCAAGAAGAGAAAACCAAAGAUCAAUGUUCCUCAUGAACUUAGAUGCAAAAGUUCUUAACAAAACUUGAGCAAAUACAAACCCACAAUAGAUUGCAGAAAAGAAUAGUUUAUCAUGGCCAAGUUGAGUCUAUCUCAAGAAGGCAACGUUGAUUUAAUAUUUUUUUCUAAAAUCAAUCAAUGUUAUUUAUUCUAUUGAAUGAUGAAAAAGUAAAAUAUUUGGCCAUCUCAAUGGGGAAAAAGCAUUUUACAAAAUCUAACAUCAAUUUCUGAUUAAAACCAUUGACAGAGUAGGAAUGAAGGGAAACUCUUCCAUAAAUAAAGGUUCUCCAUGAAAAACCCACAGCUAAUAUCACACUAUGCUGAGCAACCAAAUCAGAAACUAGUGGGUUAUAUUCGCUCCCAGCAACUCAUUAAACAUUGUCCUGGAAAUUUUAGCCAGUAAAGUAAGGCAAGAAAAAGAAAUGAAAAGCAUCCAGAUUGGAAAGGAAAAUGUAAAACUGUCUUUAUUCAACAAGACCACGGUUGUCUACAAAGAAAACCUGAUAGAAUCCACAAAAACAGCCACUAAAGCUAAUCGGUGAGCUUAGAAAGCUUGAAGGAUUCAACCAAACCAACAGAGAUCAAUUGGAUCUCUGUACUUUAGCAAUGAAAGACAGAAAUGGGAACUUUAAAGGCAGUAUGAUUAACAAGAGUAUUCCAUUACUUAAUGUUUAUGGAUAAAUCUGACAAAAGUACACUGAAACUAUAAAACAUUGCUGAGAGAAAAUUUUAAACACUUGAAUAAAUGAAGAGCUUUCCUGUAUUUGUGGAUUGGAAGAAACAAUAUUUGUUAAGAUGUGAAUUCUCCCUAAACCGAUCUGUAGAUUGGACACAGUCUCAAUCAAAAACAGCAGGAUAUUUUGGUCAAAAUUGAUGAGCAAUUCUAAAAUUUGCGUGGAAAUGCAAUGGACCUAUAAUAGCCAAAACAAUCUACUUUGCAAAAGAAAAAAAAUUACGUACCUAACACAACCUGAUUUAAGACUUACAAAGCUACAGUAAUCAGGAAAUGGUGCUAUUGGUGUCAAAAUAAACAAAUAGAUCAAUUAAACAGAAAAGGGAUCUAGAAAUACACCCACUCAUAUGUAUAUGGCUGAUUUUCAACCAAGGUGGAAUUCAAUUCAGUGGAAAAAAUAGUCUUUUCAAAAAAUGAUGCCGUAUAAUUGCAUAUGUAAAAGAAAAAAAAGAGAAAUGAACUUCGAUCCAUAGCUCGCACCACAUACUACAAAAAACACUUUAAAAUGUGACCUUGAGUUGAGCAAAUAUUCUUUAGACACCGUGAAAUCCAUAAAAGAAAAAGUUUCCAGAUUGGACUUAAUCAAAAUCAAUACUCUCUGCUUUUCCAAAGAUACUGUUGAAAGAAUGAAAAGAAAAACUGCAGAAGUGGAGAAAAUAUUCCCAAACCAUAUAUUUGACAGACUUUGUAUCUAGAAUAUAUAAUGAACUCUCAAAACUCAAAAAUGAGAAAAUAAACAACCCAAAAGAUCUAACCAGACACUCAACCACAGAAGACAUGUGGUUGGCAGACAAAAACAUGAAAUCCGAAUUAAAACUGCAGUGAGAAAUCACUGCUGGCUAUUAGCAUAAGUACAAUUUGACAGGCUGACCACCUUCAAUGUUUGUGAGAAUGUGGAGGAACCAGAACUCUCUUACAUGGCUAGUGGACUGGAAAACAGUGCAAGCACUGUGGAAAGCUGUUUGACAGAUUCUUAUAAUGUUUAAUAUACGCCGUCAUAUGUUCCAGCCAUUCCACGCAGAUAUAUGUCCAAGAGCAAUGAAAGUUUAUGUUCACACAAAGACAUACACAAAACGUUCACAGCAGCUUUAUUUGUGAUGGCCACAACCUGGACCAUCAACAGGUAAAUGUGUAAACAAUUUGUAAUGGCCACAACCCAGAUUUCCGUCAACAGGUAAAUGUGGAAACAAUAGUACCUCCAUACUGCUCUGUGAUUAAAAUAAUGAACCAUUGAUACAUGCAACACAUGGAUGAAACUCAAAAUAAUUAUGUUCAGUGAAAGAAGUCAGAGUGUGUGCUGUUUGGUUCCAUUUAUGUAAAACGCUUCAAAAUGCAAACUAAUCCACAGUGAUAGAGCAGGUAAGCUGUUGCCUGGGCUUGGGGAAGGGGGUGCCCUAGAGGGAGGAAUUACCAAGGGUCACAAGUAAAUUUUUGUGGAGGAUGGAGAUGUUUGCUGUCUUGAUUGUGGUGACGGUUUCACAGCUGUAUCCAUAUGUCAAAGCACACCAAAGUGUACAUCUUAAACAUGUGCCAUUUAUUAUAUCUUAACGCUACCUCACUACUGUUUUUUAACUGCCUUCAUGUACAACGUCUAACGCGUCAGAUUGCCAGAAUUCUAAAACGUGGACACCAGCUACUGCUGGCAAGCUUGUGGGGAGGCAGAGCUUCUUUUCACAGAAGCCCUUUAGAUUUUAGACUCCCUCCCCUAACCAGGGUCUAAGCGUUGCCCGUCAUUGCACACUCAUCCAUGCUAAUGAAUUUUUAAAGUUUAAUUUUAGCUUUUCCAGCUGCCUCUGACCUUUCAGACAGCAGAGUGUUAGUCCGACUAUAGUGAUAACAUUGCUCUGUAAGAAUGCAGAUUUUGAAGGGAGGAAUCAGGGUGUGCAAAAAAAAGAAGGAAUUUCAUGUAUUCACUCAUUUGCAUUCAUUCCACAACUAUUUAUUGACUGCCUGGUGGGUGCCAGCCUCUGUUCUAGGCACUGAGGACGUAGAUGAAAACAAGCCCAAUGAAGUCCCGGUUCCCAUGGAGCUGACAGCCCAGCGCUGGGCUGCAGACAAUAAAAACUAUCAAAUCAACAGGGAGCGCAUCCAGUGGUGACAAACUGAGGAGGAGGGAAGCUCAGAGGGAGCUGUAAUUUUAAAAAGUGGGGUCAGGCAGGUCUCCGUGAAAGAUGGUGUUUGAGCAGAGACUUGAAGAGCGAGUGCUGGAAAAAGAUGAUUUAGAAGGGCCGAAAACAAGCUUCUCUGAAAGCACGCGGCUUCCUUUCCUUCUGGACACAUUUGGAAUAUGCAGCAAGGACUGCACAUCUUCAUGUCUCAGCCUCUCAACCUUUCCACCAUGGCUUGAAGCGAGGUUUGUGAUGCCUGUGGGUGUGUUUGCCACUGUAGGCUCAGCGUCCCAGGCCUUGCAGUGCCUCUCACCAGCGUGGCGAUUCCAAGCAGGUCAGUUCACAUCUCUGAGCCUUGUUUUCCUUUUCUGUAAAAAUAGAUCAUUAGGAAUUCACUCAAUCAUUUGACCAAUAUGGUUUGAGCAGUUAUGUGGUGGGGCCCAUGCUAGGUACUGGGACAUAGUGGAGAAGAGGACACAGUCUCUGCCCUCACCGAGUUUAUGUCCAGAGCAACAGACUGAAUGUGUGGGCCGCCCUCCCCAAAUUGAAUUUAUAUGUUGAAACUCUAAUUUUAAUGUGAUGGUUGUCAGGAGGUGGCCAUUUUGGUAGGUGGUUAGAUUGUGAGGUUUGGCCCUCAUGAAGGAUGAGUGCCCUUAUAAGAAGCCAGAGAGCCAGUUAGCCCUUCCUGCCAUGUGAAGACAAGAUGAGAAGCCCGGCUGCCUGCAACAUGGAAGAGAGCCCUUCCCAGUACUUGACCAUACCAUCGCCUGAUUACCUGUUUGCAGGCGGGGUGUGAUGACUCACACCUGUAACCCCAGCACUCUGGGAGGCUGAGGUGAGAGGAUCAUUUGAGCCCAGGAGUUUGAGACCAGCCUGGGAAACAUGGUGAAACCCACCUCCAGAAAUAAUGUUUAAGAAAUUACCCAGGCAUAGUGGCUCACGCCUGUGGUCCCAACGACUCAAGAAGCAGAGGCAGGAGGACCACUUGAGGCUGGGAGUUUGAGGCUGCAGUGAGCAGAGAUGGUGCCACCGCACUCCAGCCUGGGCAACAGAGUGAGACCCUAUCUCAAAAGAGGAAUCCUCACUUGCUAAUGCCCACAGCUUUGAUGGGGACCUCCUAAAAAAGCCAAUAGGCCCAACCCUCUGGGACCACCCAUCACUCAGCCUUGUCAUCUGAAGAGGAUGCAGGUUAAUGGAGUAGCCUGUCCAAGUUCUAAGCCUGGUUCUAUAACCUACACACUGGAGAGUCUGUGCCCAGUAUUUGAUGAUCGUGCCUCAGUUUCCCCAUCUAUAAAAUGGGGAUGAUAAUUGUAGCCCCGACCUUGCAGAGCUGUUGUGAGGCAUUCACAGUUAUUACACAUAAAGUGCUACUCACAGUCCCUGCAACAGGGUCAGUUGUCAGGAUUGGCUCCUCCCAGCCAUCCUCAUCACGAGAGCUGUGGCGCCUGCAGCUGCACUUGUGGGAACAACAGCAGCUCUUCCAGGCCCUUCUGUGGCUUUCCAGGGCCCACUGCCAGGUUCAGCAGCAUCAGUAACCAGCAAUUUUCUCUUCCCUGCAACGUAAACAAGUCCUCCCACACUUUUCCCCUCCACCCACCCCGUUAAGUGAAGCGGGCAGAGCAGAAUUCUGUGUUUUCCUGACUUACUAUUAUGCGAACAGAGGCUCUGAGGAUUGGAGUGCUCAGUCCAAGGUAACUCAGCUAUGUUUGGGACAAACUUGCAGAUAAAUGAUCAUUUUUCAGACAUCCACACACUUAACCCAAUCUCUGAAGUCCCAACCAGUACUACUGCCAGAAGGUCUCCUGGUUCCCUGGCCUGGAACAAGAUAUAAUCCUGGUCUAACCAAAGUCUCUCCCACCCUUACCCCCAUCGUACCAUCACCAUCCACCCCAAGCCAGCAGGAGCACUCCAUAACCACACUCUUCCCUUCUGAAUGACAGUGAAGAUCAGGGUUAAAAUCUCAGCCACUAACUUCCAAAAUAAGCUCUUGAAAUCUGUAACAGACACAAUUUUGAAGCCCAAAGCUUUCAAUGUCGAGGCUAGCUUUACAGGGUUCAAAGUGUUUCACACAUCUAGGACUUGGUGGAGGGUUCUUAGUAUACAGAUUAUACCACAAAUAACAAAAUUGGCAAAAAAUGUAUAUAUUACGAAUAACUGACACAAGAACAGAAAACCAAAUACCGCAUGUUCUUGCUCACGAGUGGGUGUUGAACAAU
Callithrix jacchus (white-tufted-ear marmoset) is the source of this 10785-nucleotide non-coding RNA. NCBI's taxonomy places the organism in Eukaryota, Metazoa, Chordata, Mammalia, Primates, Cebidae. The record is from RefSeq and is a predicted model, not a curated record.